GUGCCAGCAGCCGCGGUAAUACCGGCAGCCCGAGUGGUGGCCGAUCUUAUUGGGCCUAAAGCGUCCGUAGCUGGCUGCGCAAGUCCGUCGGGAAAUCCACGCGCUCAACGCGUGGGCGUCCGGCGGAAACCACUCGGCUUGGGGCCGGAGGACUCGAGGGGUACGUCUGGGGUAGGAGUGAAAUCCCGUAAUCCUGGACGGACCGCCGAUGGCGAAAGCACCUCGAGAGGACGGACCCGACAGUGAGGGACGAUAGCCAGGGUCUCGAACCGGAUUAGAAACCCCAGUAGUCC
This 293-nucleotide ribosomal RNA is filed under the name uncultured bacterium. Its description in RNAcentral is "partial 16S ribosomal RNA". It matches the Rfam family "Archaeal small subunit ribosomal RNA", at positions 455 to 747 of the family's 1478-position model. The record is from RNAcentral.